RNAcentral lists this ribosomal RNA (2924 nucleotides) under Escherichia coli. RNAcentral's name for it is "bacterial LSU rRNA". It matches the Rfam family "Bacterial large subunit ribosomal RNA". Lineage: Bacteria; Pseudomonadati; Pseudomonadota; Gammaproteobacteria; Enterobacterales; Enterobacteriaceae. The record is from RNAcentral.
GGGUUGUGAGGUUAAGCGACUAAGCGUACACGGUGGAUGCCCUGGCAGUCAGAGGCGAUGAAGGACGUGCUAAUCUGCGAUAAGCGUCGGUGAGGUGAUAUGAACCGUUAUAACCGGCGAUUUCCGAAUGGGGAAACCCAGUGUGUUUCGACACACUAUCAUUAACUGAAUCCAUAGGUUAAUGAGGCGAACCGGGGGAACUGAAACAUCUAAGUACCCCGAGGAAAAGAAAUCAACCGAGAUUCCCCCAGUAGCGGCGAGCGAACGGGGAGGAGCCCAGAGCCUGAAUCAGUGUGUGUGUUAGUGGAAGCGUCUGGAAAGGCGUGCGAUACAGGGUGACAGCCCCGUACACAAAAAUGCACAUAUUGUGAGCUCGAUGAGUAGGGCGGGACACGUGGUAUCCUGUCUGAAUAUGGGGGGACCAUCCUCCAAGGCUAAAUACUCCUGACUGACCGAUAGUGAACCAGUACCGUGAGGGAAAGGCGAAAAGAACCCCGGCGAGGGGAGUGAAAAAGAACCUGAAACCGUGUACGUACAAGCAGUGGGAGCCUCUUAAUGGGGUGACUGCGUACCUUUUGUAUAAUGGGUCAGCGACUUAUAUUCUGUAGCAAGGUUAACCGAAUAGGGGAGCCGAAGGGAAACCGAGUCUUAACUGGGCGUUAAGUUGCAGGGUAUAGACCCGAAACCCGGUGAUCUAGCCAUGGGCAGGUUGAAGGUUGGGUAACACUAACUGGAGGACCGAACCGACUAAUGUUGAAAAAUUAGCGGAUGACUUGUGGCUGGGGGUGAAAGGCCAAUCAAACCGGGAGAUAGCUGGUUCUCCCCGAAAGCUAUUUAGGUAGCGCCUCGUGAAUUCAUCUCCGGGGGUAGAGCACUGUUUCGGCAAGGGGGUCAUCCCGACUUACCAACCCGAUGCAAACUGCGAAUACCGGAGAAUGUUAUCACGGGAGACACACGGCGGGUGCUAACGUCCGUCGUGAAGAGGGAAACAACCCAGACCGCCAGCUAAGGUCCCAAAGUCAUGGUUAAGUGGGAAACGAUGUGGGAAGGCCCAGACAGCCAGGAUGUUGGCUUAGAAGCAGCCAUCAUUUAAAGAAAGCGUAAUAGCUCACUGGUCGAGUCGGCCUGCGCGGAAGAUGUAACGGGGCUAAACCAUGCACCGAAGCUGCGGCAGCGACACUAUGUGUUGUUGGGUAGGGGAGCGUUCUGUAAGCCUGUGAAGGUGGCCUGUGAGGGUUGCUGGAGGUAUCAGAAGUGCGAAUGCUGACAUAAGUAACGAUAAAGCGGGUGAAAAGCCCGCUCGCCGGAAGACCAAGGGUUCCUGUCCAACGUUAAUCGGGGCAGGGUGAGUCGACCCCUAAGGCGAGGCCGAAAGGCGUAGUCGAUGGGAAACAGGUUAAUAUUCCUGUACUUGGUGUUACUGCGAAGGGGGACGGAGAAGGCUAUGUUGGCCGGGCGACGGUUGUCCCGGUUUAAGCGUGUAGGCUGGUUUUCCAGGCAAAUCCGGAAAACCAAGGCUGAGGCGUGAUGACGAAGCACUACGGUGCUGAAGCGACAAAUGCCCUGCUUCCAGGAAAAGCCUCUAAGCAUCAGGUAACAUCAAAUCGUACCCCAAACCGACACAGGUGGUCAGGUAGAGAAUACCAAGGCGCUUGAGAGAACUCGGGUGAAGGAACUAGGCAAAAUGGUGCCGUAACUUCGGGAGAAGGCACGCUGAUAUGUAGGUGAAGCGACUUGCUCGUGGAGCUGAAAUCAGUCGAAGAUACCAGCUGGCUGCAACUGUUUAUUAAAAACACAGCACUGUGCAAACACGAAAGUGGACGUAUACGGUGUGACGCCUGCCCGGUGCCGGAAGGUUAAUUGAUGGGGUUAGCGGCAACGCGAAGCUCUUGAUCGAAGCCCCGGUAAACGGCGGCCGUAACUAUAACGGUCCUAAGGUAGCGAAAUUCCUUGUCGGGUAAGUUCCGACCUGCACGAAUGGCGUAAUGAUGGCCAGGCUGUCUCCACCCGAGACUCAGUGAAAUUGAACUCGCUGUGAAGAUGCAGUGUACCCGCGGCAAGACGGAAAGACCCCGUGAACCUUUACUAUAGCUUGACACUGAACAUUGAGCCUUGAUGUGUAGGAUAGGUGGGAGGCUUUGAAGUGUGGACGCCAGUCUGCAUGGAGCCGACCUUGAAAUACCACCCUUUAAUGUUUGAUGUUCUAACGUUGGCCCGUAAUCCGGGUUGCGGACAGUGUCUGGUGGGUAGUUUGACUGGGGCGGUCUCCUCCUAAAGAGUAACGGAGGAGCACGAAGGUUGGCUAAUCCUGGUCGGACAUCAGGAGGUUAGUGCAAUGGCAUAAGCCAGCUUGACUGCGAGCGUGACGGCGCGAGCAGGUGCGAAAGCAGGUCAUAGUGAUCCGGUGGUUCUGAAUGGAAGGGCCAUCGCUCAACGGAUAAAAGGUACUCCGGGGAUAACAGGCUGAUACCGCCCAAGAGUUCAUAUCGACGGCGGUGUUUGGCACCUCGAUGUCGGCUCAUCACAUCCUGGGGCUGAAGUAGGUCCCAAGGGUAUGGCUGUUCGCCAUUUAAAGUGGUACGCGAGCUGGGUUUAGAACGUCGUGAGACAGUUCGGUCCCUAUCUGCCGUGGGCGCUGGAGAACUGAGGGGGGCUGCUCCUAGUACGAGAGGACCGGAGUGGACGCAUCACUGGUGUUCGGGUUGUCAUGCCAAUGGCACUGCCCGGUAGCUAAAUGCGGAAGAGAUAAGUGCUGAAAGCAUCUAAGCACGAAACUUGCCCCGAGAUGAGUUCUCCCUGAGACUUAGAGUCUCCUGAAGGAACGUUGAAGACGACGACGUUGAUAGGCCGGGUGUGUAAGCGCAGCGAUGCGUUGAGCUAACCGGUACUAAUGAACCGUGAGGCUUAACCUUACAACGCCGAAG